RNAcentral lists this ribosomal RNA (301 nucleotides) under uncultured bacterium. RNAcentral describes it as "partial 16S ribosomal RNA". It matches the Rfam family "Bacterial small subunit ribosomal RNA", at positions 509 to 807 of the family's 1533-position model. The record is from RNAcentral.
CAGUAGCCGCGGUAACACGAGGGGGGCAAGCGUUGUUCGGAAUUAUUGGGCGUAAAGGGCGCGUAGGCGGUUUGGCAAGUUUGGUGUGAAAUCUUUGGGCUCAACUCGAAGUCUGCAUCGAAAACUGCCGGGCUUGAGUGUGGGAGAGGUGAGUGGAAUUUCCGGUGUAGCGGUGAAAUGCGUAGAUAACGGAAGGAACACCUGUGGCGAAAGCGGCUCACUGGACCACAACUGACGCUGAGGCGCGAAAGCUAGGGGAGCAAACAGGAUUAGAUACCCCUGUAGUCCCUGUCUCUUAUAC